Mandrillus leucophaeus (drill) is the source of this 870-nucleotide RNA transcript. It is a transcript of the gene named 60S ribosomal protein L38 pseudogene, with no coding region annotated. The record is from RefSeq and is a predicted model, not a curated record. The transcript has a single exon. Lineage: Eukaryota; Metazoa; Chordata; Mammalia; Primates; Cercopithecidae.
AUUAAUUAAGGAUUUAUUUUACCUACUCAUACAACAAACAAGCAUAAAUAGAAAUUAGGAAACACUAAAGAUGCAGCGAUAAACCAGAAAUACGGUUGUGUGGUUGGUGAAACUGGGUGUGAAGAGGCCGUUCAGGUCCUCUCUCAGGGUGAUCGAAACCACAAACACGUAGACACCUCCAGGUUUACACUAGGUUGGUCAGUGAAUGCAUCCUGAGUGUUUUCUAGGCAUUCUGAAGACUUGAAGGGUGCAAGUAUCAUCCUCCUUUGCAGGUCUUCCCAGAAACAUCCACCUCCUGAGUCAUGACGACUUGUGUAUGAUACGAACCCAGGCCUGGGAAUCUACUGAACAGGGCUAAACAAGGAUGCCAAAAUACUAGCCCUGGCAAAUCUUUCCUAGUCAUUUGGUGGUCAGUCCAGAGCUUCUCAAACCUGCUGAAGCGAGCAGAAACACCUAUCUCUAUAAAUGGCUUAUCUCCAUUUAGGGGUAGCCUCUAGGGUUAAUCUAGGAGCUUUAAAAGCUGUUUGUCUUUUUCGUCCUUUUUUCCCGGUCGCUGCUCGAUGAAUGGGUGCAGGGAGCAGGUCCACGCCUGCUCCCUAAGUGCCUUUUCGCCAUGCCUCCGAAAAUUGAGGAAAUCAAGGACUUUCUGCUCACAGCCCGACAAAGGAUGCCAAAUCUGUCAAGAUCAAGAAAAAUAAGGACAAUGUGAAGUUUAAAGUUCGAUGCGGCAGAUAUCUUUAUACCCUGGUCACCAGUGACAAAGAGAAGGCAGAGAAAGUGAAGCAGUCCCUGUCUCCUACUUUGGCACUGAAGGAGCUGAAAUGAACCAGCCACACUGACUGGAACUGUAUUAGAAUACAAAAACAAAAA